ACGCGUGUGUGUCCGGUUUGU
RNAcentral lists this microRNA (21 nucleotides) under Oreochromis niloticus (Nile tilapia). RNAcentral's name for it is "oni-miR-10919". The record is from miRBase by way of RNAcentral. Lineage: Eukaryota; Metazoa; Chordata; Actinopteri; Cichliformes; Cichlidae.